CGAGUCCGAGUCUCCACGGAGACGAAGUGGCGGUCAUCCAGCUUCCUAGAAAAGCUCUAACCACGUUAAUCUUUAGUUGCCUGUACCCGAAACCGACACAGGUAGGGGGGUAGAGAAUACCAAGGGGCGCGAGAUAACUCUCUCUAAGGAACUCGGCAAAAUGACCCCGUAACUUCGGGAGAAGGGGUACCACUGAGAAGUGGUCGCAGUGAAGAGGCCCAGGCGACUGUUUACCAAAAACACAGGUCUCCGCCAAGUCGCAAGACGUAGUAUGGGGGCUGACGCCUGCCCAGUGCCGGAAGGUUAAGGAAGUGGGUUAAGGAUUCGUCCCGAAGCUGACGACUGAAGCCCCGGUGAACGGCGGCCGUAACUAUAACGGUCCUAAGGUAGCGAAAUUCCUUGUCGGGUAAGUUCCGACCCGCACGAAAGGCGUAACGAUCUGGGCGCUGUCUCGGAGAGAGGCUCGGCGAAAUAGGAUUGUCUGUGAAGAUACGGACUACCUGCACCUGGACAGAAAGACCCUAUGAAGCUUUACUGUAGCUUGGAAUUGGGUUCGGGCUUGGUUUGCGCAGGAUAGGUGGGAGGCGAAGAAGAUUUGCUUGUGGGUGAAUCUGAGCCAACGGUGAGAUACCACUCUAACCAGGCUAGAAUUCUAACUUCAACCCGUCAACCGGGGGAAGGACAGUUUCAGGUGGGCAGUUUGACUGGGGCGGCCGCCUCCUAAAAGAUAACGGAGGCGCACAAAGGUUCCCUCAGGCUGGUUGGAAAUCAGCCAACGAGUGCAAAGGCAGAAGGGAGCUUGACUGCGAGACCUACAAGUCAAGCAGGGUGGAAACACGGUCUUAGUGAUCCGACGGCACCGAGUGGAAGGGCCGUCGCUCAACGGAUAAAAGUUACUCUAGGAUAACAGGCUGAUCUCCCCCAAGAGUUCACAUCGACGGGGAGGUUUGGCACCUCGAUGUCGGCUCAUCGCAACCUGGGGCGGAAGUACGUCCCAAGGGUUGGGCUGUUCGCCCAUUAAAGCGGUACGUGAGCUGGGUUCAGAACGUCGUGAGACAGUUCGGUCCAUAUCCGGUGUAGGCGCAAGAACAUUGAGAGGAGUCUUCCUUAGUACGAGAGGACCGGGAAGAACGCACCGCUGGUGUACCUGUUAUCGUGCCAACGGUAAACGCAGGGUAGCCAAGUGCGGAGUGGAUAACCGCUGAAAGCAUCUAAGUGGGAAGCCCACCUCAAGAUGAGUGUUCUCAUGGAGUAAUCCAGUAAGGUCACGGGAAGACGACCCGUUGAUAGGCGGUAGGUGGAAGUUCAGCAAUGGAUGAAGCCGAGCCGUACUAACAGACCGAGGGCUUGACCU
Molecule: ribosomal RNA, 1354 nt
Filed under: metagenome
Description: bacterial LSU rRNA
Rfam family: Bacterial large subunit ribosomal RNA
Source: RNAcentral